Molecule: unclassified non-coding RNA, 220 nt
Filed under: root metagenome
Description: partial contains small subunit ribosomal RNA, internal transcribed spacer 1, and 5.8S ribosomal RNA
Source: RNAcentral
UCUCCGUUGGUGAACCAGCGGAGGGAUCAUUACCGAGUUUACAAACUCCCAAACCCUUUGUGAACCUUACCAUAUUGUUGCUUCGGCGGGACCGCCCCGGCGCCUUCGGGCCCGGAACCAGGCGCCCGCCGGAGGCCCCAAACUCUUGAUUUUACAGCGUCUCUUCUGAGUGGAUUAUACAAAUGAAUCAAAACUUUCAACAACGGAUCUCUUGGUUCUG